CCCUGCCGCUGGGACACGCUGCCGCCAGGUGCGCCGGGGACUUAGGCAGUGCCGCGACGCACGGCCCGCGCCGGUUUCCAAGGUGAAGGAGGAGGAGCCUCUGAGGGAAAGUUUCCACAGAAACUUGAGCUGGGCGCAGUGUAGCGCUCGCGCCCUUGGGGGCUAGCGUAUGGCCGGACCUACACACUCUUUCUUUACUCACGCACGCACACCGCCGUACACAGCACAAUCGUUCACCGUCCCGCCAAAGGCUCGACUCUCGGGUUCUGCCUAGUGGAAGGAGUGGACAACGCCGCACGUCACGGGCGUUUCGGAUUUCUUGCUUCCCAAAGGUUUGACGGCGGCCACCGGCGCCCCGGCCCAGCUCUGCUUUCCUUUGCUGACUCCUUCCUUGAGGUGUGAAUUUUAAAAUGCUGAUACCGCCCCAAGAGAGCUGAGUCAAGUGAGGCAAACGUUCGCCUGUUGUUCUCCUGACAGACUCCCUGCAGUGGGCAGGGGAUAUGUGGCCUUGGCCGACAUUGAAGUGCCAGGAUGGAGGGAGGGGGCCUGCUGAUUUGUUCUGUUUUACUUUUUAAGGGUAACUAGAGCGUUACUGGAGUCGUCUGUAGGUUUGGGGAGUAUGUGGCGCGUGUGUGUGUCACACAUUUAACUGGCAACUCCCGCCAACCCCUUCCCAAGAAAUGAAGGCUCUAAUGUGGGCAGUUCUACAACAAAGGUGAAACUUCCCCAAAUCACGAUUCCCCGCAAGAUGAGAGAGCAGGUGCAGCAUCCGUUUCCCCACUACCACGCUUGAGAUGGUGGCUUUGGGCACUGCCCGGUGCCCCGACAUCCUUCCCAGAGCCCAGCCUUCCCACCCAGGCCUGGCCCUGCGCGGCCGCCUGCCUUUGCAUCAGAGACCGCGGCUGUGCCAUUGCCAAGCUGGGCAGCGCCGCCUCGCUUCCCCAUUCCUCCGUCUCCCACACCUCUUGCGUGUUUGAGUCGCGAAGUGAUGGACUUUAAAUCUCAGAGGAGGAAUGAGAAACUUGGUUAGUGGCUCUCUUGGCAUGUUCGUAGCCCUGUGGUUGAAGUGGCUGAAACCUGCGUUAAGCCUCAGUCCAAGCAGCUGGGGCCACACCAGUUUGCAAAGGCGGAUGUGGCAAUUUUCCACCGCAGCAGCAGCCUGCUGGCGCCUCAUCAGAUUCUCCUUUGGAGGAAGUAUCUUCUUCCCUUCAUUCUCGGUGAAUGGCAUCCAGAGAUAACCAAAAUCAGGUGUAUCUAGUUUCAAGUUCUGUCUUGCAACCGUGAUAAUUGGAGGAUGCAAACUUUACACUUUCUUCUCUAGCUGUCUACCACCACUGCUGCGCUUGUGGAUGACUGCAGGAACAGGGGUACUUGCCACAAGUAUCUCUCCAGAUUCAUCAGCCUUUCACCUGUGACAAGCGCAGUCAAGAAGUGGCUCCUAAGUAAGAGCUGGGGAAGAACAAGGAAGAUAGAGCUCAGAGUAGAAAGCUGUGAAGUUCUGCACAACAGGUCCCCUUGGCCUGCUCUAACAGUUGGAAUGUGGUGGAAGCAUUCAUUUACUCAACGAAUAUAUACUGAGUGCCUUUUGCAUGCUAGGCACGCUUCUAGGGGUUGAGGACACAGCAGAGAGCACAAACAACAAUUCCAGCCCUCAUGGAGCUUACCUCUUCCAGGUGGGAAAGACAGAUGGUAAAUGUAUAAGGACAAUAUAUGGACUGCUGUAUGAUUAGAAAUGCUAUGGAGAGGCUAGGAGUGCUGUCUCAUGCCUGUAAUCCCACAGUUUGGGAGGCCAAAGGAGGAGGAUCGCUUGAGGCCAGAAGUUGGAGACCCAACCUUGGCAACAUAACAGGCAUGGUAGCUCAUGUGGAAGCUUCCCGAGGCCCUCACCCAGAAGCAGAUGCUGGAGCCAUGCUUGUACAGCUUGCAGAACUAAAGCCCAGCUGGCUUUGUUCCAUGGAUCUUUGCCCUUCUUUCCAUCCACUUCUUCCUGCUUGGACAUUGGUUACCUGGAGAAGCAGAAGCCAUUUUGAGAUGAUGAAAGCAAAAGUUAAAUGUAUGAGAUGAUGGUGCAGAAAGCCAGAAGGGGCCUCCAGAACACUGAGCUUUGUGGAGUCGUGUACCAUGGCUGUAUUGCCCACCUCUGAACUUCCUGCUGAGAUAAAAAACAAUCCUUAUGUGUUUAUACUACUUUUAUUUCAGUUUCUUUUAAGUAUAGCAAACACAUUCCAAAUAAUAUGCAUAUGAAGUUUUUGGUUUUGUUUUUAAAUUUUUUUUCUAGGGAUGGGUUCUGGCUGCGUAGUGGCUAGAGUGUAGUGGCUAUUCUUAGGUGCAGUCAUAGCUCACUACAGCCUCUAACUGGCCUCAAGCAAUCCUCCCACCACAGCUUCCAGGGCAGCUGGGAUUACAGGAGAGCACCACACUGAAGUUUCUGUUAAAUAGAAUGUUUGCUAUAGAUUUUUAGUUGAUGUCCUCUGUUAGGUUGAAAACCUUCCUUUAUUUUCUUGUGAAAUUUCUAAGAGAUUUUUAAAUCAUUAACUGGUAUUGAACUUUAUAAAAUGAUUUUUCUGUGUCUGAGAUGAUCAUGUGAUUAUUUUUCCUGUUUAUGUCCCUUGAUGUGAUGAUUUUUAUUGUAGAUCUUCCUUUAUUGAACCAAAUUUACGUUAUUUAUAUUAACCCUAUUUGAUUGUAAUAUAUUUUUAGUAGGGUAUUAGACUCUGUUACCUAACAUUUUACUUAGCAUUAUUUUGCAUCUAUGUUCAUAAGUAAAAUAGGCCUUUUUUUCUUUAUGUGACUAGGUAUCAACAUUAUAUUGGCAUUAUAAAUUAUGUUGAACACUUUGCCUACUUUUUCUGUUUUUCCAGAGCAACUUGUAUCGUAGGAAUCAUCAGGCAAUAAGAUGCAGGGAAAACUCUGGAUACUGCAUACCAAAAGUUGAAUACAUUUUUCUUAUUUUUGAAACUUUUAAUACACAUAAAGACAAGUGCACAUAUUAUAAGUAUAUAGUUCAGUUUAUUUCGACAAACUGAAUAAACCCAUGUAAUCAGCACCCAGAUCAGGAAACAGAAUCUGGAAGCUUCCUUGUGUCCCCUUCCAAUCACUAUUUCCCCUCAAAGUUAAUCCUGACUUCUAACUGCAUAGAUUUGUCUUGUCUAUUUUUGUACUUUAUAUAACUAGAAUAAUAGAAUAGAUACUCUUUUGUAUCUGUCUCUCUGGUUCUUAUUUGUAAGAUUCAUCCAUAUUGUUGAUGUUGAUGUGCUUAUGGGUAGUUUAUUAUUUGCUGUAUAUAAUAUUUCAUUUGGUAAAUACUCCAUGAAUUAGUUGUCCGUUACUACUUAUAAGUGUACAGCUCAGCUUAUUUCCACAAGCCAAAUAGACCCAUGUAAUUGAUGGUUGUUUGGUGACAGAGAGAAGGGUUUUUUUUUAAAUCUUUUAAAAUGCAUGACGGGGAAGUAGAAUUACUUAAGUAUUAAAAAAACAGUAAGAAGGGGGAAAUUAAAAUGGUGUAGCUACUUUGGAAAACAGUCUGAUAGUUCCUGAAAUAAUUAAACAUAGGGUUACUAUAUGACCCAGCAAUUGCACUCAUAGGCAUAUAUGCAAGACAAAACAUGUCCACACAAAAACUUGUACAUAAAUAUUCAUAGUAGCAUUAGCCACAAUAUCUAAAGGGUGAAAAUAAUCCAGAUGUCCAACAACUGAUGAAUGGUUAAACAAAAUGUGGUAUAUCCAUAUAAUGGAAUAUUAUUUGGCCAUAAAAAGGAAUGAAGUGGCCAGGCACCAUGGCUCACACCUAUAAUCUAGCGCUUUGGGAGGCUGAAGCGGGUGGAUCACUUGAGGUCAGGAGUUCAAAACUAGCCCGGCCAACAUGGUAAAAUGCUGUCUCUACUAAAAAUCCAAAAAAAUAUUAGCCAGGUGUGGUGGCAGGUCCCUGUAAUCCCAGCUACUUGGGAGGCUGAGGCAGGUGAAUUGCUUGAACCUGGGAAGCAAAGAUUGCAGUGAGCCAAGAUUGUGCCACUAUACUCCAUCCUGGGUGACAGAGCGAGACUCCAUCUCAAAAAAAAGGAAUGAAAUAUUAAUAGGAUAUACACUGCAAUAUGGAUGAAGCUUGAAAAUAUCAUGUUACAUAAAAGAAGCCAGGUAUGAAAGAUAUUAUUGUAUGGUUCCAUUUAUAUGAAAUGUCCAGAAUCAAAAUAGACAAAUUCAUACAGGCAGAAAGAGACUUGGGCGGUUAGAGUUAAAGAGGGGAAUGGGGCAUGACUGCUAAUGGAUACAGGGUUUCUUUCUGGUGUCAUGAAAAUGCUCUGGAAUUAGAUAGUAAUGAUGGUUCUACAUGUAAAUAUACUAAAACCACUCAAUGCAUACUUUUAAAAAGAUGACUUUUACAGCAUAUGAAAUAUCUGUCCAUUUUUUUUAAAGGAAAGUAGAAUAAAAGAGUGCCAGAGCUGGCACUUGUCUGGAAAUUAUCCACUGAUCCCUGGUGGCCUACAGCCUGGGUUACAAUGGGUUAUAAAUGAAGGGAAAGGAGACAAACCUUUAGAGGAAGACACUAGGAGAAGGGGGGUGGCAAUGGAAUCCGCAGAGGAAGACAGUGAAGAUAUGUGCCUUUUUGAGCCUUGGCCCUGGGUGGAAUGAUUUAAAAAAAAAGUUUCCCCUGAAAAUCACUAACUCCACACCUAAUUUGGAGCCAAAAUUAAUAUUAUCUAUGUGGUCCAAAAAUACUCCAAAAGUUUAGAUCAGAUGGGUCCUGGAUUGGUUGUACCUCUAGGUGCCUAGCCGGCACAACAAACACAAAUCCUGUUGAGGAAUGCAUUUUAAAUCCAGGCUUCAAAGCAUUGCCACAGAUAAAUAUGCAAAGAAAUUGAAUAUUAUAAUUUCCCUUUGGAUUUCAGUUUAAUCCUGGGUGUUUUAGAAAUUUUUUAUUGACAGAGCUGUUUAAAUCUACCUGUUUAUUAUUAACUAUUCCAGUGUUUUUGGUUUUGUUUUUUUUUUUUUGAGAUGGAGUCUUGCUCUGUCGCCCAGGCUGGAGUGCAGUGGCGCUAUCUCGGCUCACUGCAGGCUCCGCCCCCCAGGGUUCAUGCCAUUCUCCUGCCUCAGCCUCCCGAGUAGCUGGGACUACAGGCGCCCGCCACCUUGCCCAGCUAAUUUUUUGGUAUUUUUAGUAGAGACGGGGUUUCACCAUGUUAGCCAGGAUGGUCUCGAUCUCCUGACCUCGUGAUCCACCUGCCUCGGCCUCCCAAAGUGCUGGGAUUACAGGCGUGAGCCACCGCGCCUGGCCAACUAUUCUAGUGUUUUGUUGUCAGAGAACAUACUCUGUUGUGAUGCUAAUUAUUUGGAGUUUAUAGAGGCUCUUUUGUAACCUAGUCCAUAAUCAAUUAAUAUAAA
This is a long non-coding RNA of Gorilla gorilla gorilla (western lowland gorilla), 5379 nucleotides long. RefSeq lists it as uncharacterized. Lineage: Eukaryota; Metazoa; Chordata; Mammalia; Primates; Hominidae. The record is from RefSeq and is a predicted model, not a curated record. The transcript has 3 exons.